RNAcentral lists this long non-coding RNA (290 nucleotides) under Vigna radiata. RNAcentral describes it as "long non-coding RNA (VRAD_LNC000984)". The record is from RNAcentral. Lineage: Eukaryota; Viridiplantae; Streptophyta; Magnoliopsida; Fabales; Fabaceae.
ACUGUGUUUGUUAAUUUGUUUGCAAGAGUAUUUGAUGUUGAAUGUUGUCUAAGGUUUUUAAUAGUGUUAGUUUAAUUACCAUGCUAGCUUAAAUUAGUUUGUUGCAUCUGUGUCUUUAUAUUGAGUUCUUUAAUUUUUGCAAAACCUUUUCAACCCCCCCCUUUCCGUGUUAGAUUCAAUUCUUGAACCGCAAAAUUGGGCCUUGAGAGACGACCUAGGAGUCACUUCCUAGUCUAUACUGCAUUUCUAAUAUGCAAUCAAAUUUGUAUGGGCCGCGACACCCAUCAAUC